Regulatory RNA element from Rhodovulum sp. ES.010, 93 nucleotides. It matches the Rfam family "Rhodo-rpoB RNA". The record is from Rfam. Lineage: Bacteria; Pseudomonadati; Pseudomonadota; Alphaproteobacteria; Rhodobacterales; Paracoccaceae.
GGUUCGGGAGCGGUCGGUGGGACGUCCGCAAGAAUGGAACCUUGCCCCCUGUUUCGUGAGCGGCGCGCGGCCGGGGCCCGACGGCAUUGCGCG